CGACUCACGUCGGGACGUAACACUAUUGUAUGCCGUGCAUACACGUUCUUAUUACAAGUUUUUUUUUUUUGGUUUUAAUGUUUUAUUAUUACAAGUUGCUCGUUUUCUAGCUUAUUAAUACGAAUAGAUUAAUGUACACUAAACCAAUAAAUUAAUUAGAAAACUAACCCUCUUUGUCAACGCAAUUAACCUAUAAAACCCAUGGAAUCAGUUUUCGAAAG
Molecule: long non-coding RNA, 221 nt
Filed under: Capsella rubella
Lineage: Eukaryota; Viridiplantae; Streptophyta; Magnoliopsida; Brassicales; Brassicaceae
Description: long non-coding RNA (CRUB_LNC002391)
Source: RNAcentral